UACCAGCUCUCCGAGUGGUGUGGAUGUUUAUUGGGCCUAAAGCAUCCGUAGCUGGCUGGACAAGUCCCCUGUUAAAUCCACCGAUUUAAUCGUUGGUGUGCGGGGGAUACUGUUCGGCUAGGGGACGGGAGAGGCCGACGGUAUUUCCGGGGUAGGGGUGAAAUCCUAUAAUCCCGGGAAGACCACCAGUGGCGAAGGCUGUCGGCUAGAGCGCGCCCGACGGUGAGGGAUGAAAGCUGGGGGGAGCGAACCGGAUUAGAUACCCGGGUAGUCCCAGCUGUAAACGAUGCAGGCUAGGUGUUUGGGCGGCCACGUGCCGCUCUAGUGCCGCAAGGAAGCUGUUAAGCCUGCCGCCUGGGGAGUACGGCCGCAAGGCUGAAACUUAAAGGAAUUGGCGGGGGAGCACCACAAGGGGUGAAGCUUGCGGUUU
Molecule: ribosomal RNA, 430 nt
Filed under: uncultured archaeon
Lineage: Archaea
Description: bacterial SSU rRNA
Rfam family: Archaeal small subunit ribosomal RNA
Source: RNAcentral